Molecule: ribosomal RNA, 253 nt
Filed under: uncultured bacterium
Lineage: Bacteria
Description: partial 16S ribosomal RNA
Rfam family: Bacterial small subunit ribosomal RNA
Source: RNAcentral
UACGUAGGGUGCGAGCGUUAAUCGGAAUUACUGGGCGUAAAGUGUGCGCAGGCGGCCAUGCAAGUCGAGUGUGAAAGCCCCGGGCUUAACUUGGGAAUUGCGCUCGAAACUACGUGGCUGGAGUGUGGCAGAGGAAGGUGGAAUUCCAGGUGUAGCGGUGAAAUGCGUAGAGAUCUGGAGGAACACCGAUGGCGAAGGCAGCCUUCUGGGCCAACACUGACGCUCAUGCACGAAAGCGUGGGGAGCAAACAGG